GACGAACGCUGGCGGCGUGCUUACACAUGCAAGUCGAACGGAAAGGCCCUGCUUGCAGGGUACUCGAGUGGCGAACGGGUGAGUAACACGUGGGUGAUCUGCCCUGCACUUCGGGAUAAGCCUGGGAAACUGGGUCUAAUACCGGAUAGGAGCCAUUUUUAGUGUGAUGGUUGGAAAGUUUUUUCGGUGUAGGAUGAGCUCGCGGCCUAUCAGCUUGUUGGUGGGGUAAUGGCCUACCAAGGCGGCGACGGGUAGCCGGCCUGAGAGGGUGGACGGCCACAUUGGGACUGAGAUACGGCCCAGACUCCUACGGGAGGCAGCAGUGGGGAAUAUUGCACAAUGGGCGCAAGCCUGAUGCAGCGACGCCGCGUGGGGGAUGACGGCCUUCGGGUUGUAAACUCCUUUCGCUAGGGACGAAGCUUUUUGUGACGGUACCUAGAUAAGAAGCACCGGCUAACUACGUGCCAGCAGCCGCGGUAAUACGUAGGGUGCGAGCGUUGUCCGGAAUUACUGGGCGUAAAGGGCUCGUAGGUGGUUUGUCGCGUCGUCUGUGAAAUUCCGGGGCUUAACUCCGGGCGUGCAGGCGAUACGGGCAUAACUUGAGUACUGUAGGGGUAACUGGAAUUCCUGGUGUAGCGGUGAAAUGCGCAGAUAUCAGGAGGAACACCGAUGGCGAAGGCAGGUUACUGGGCAGUUACUGACGCUGAGGAGCGAAAGCAUGGGUAGCGAACAGGAUUAGAUACCCUGGUAGUCCAUGCCGUAAACGGUGGGCGCUAGGUGUGAGGGUCUUUUCACGACUUUCGUGCCGUAGCUAACGCAUUAAGCGCCCCGCCUGGGGAGUACGGCCGCAAGGCUAAAACUCAAAGGAAUUGACGGGGGCCCGCACAAGCGGCGGAGCAUGUGGUUUAAUUCGAAGCAACGCGAAGAACCUUACCAAAUCUUGACAUCCUUUGACAACUCUAGAGAUAGAGCCUUCCCCUUCGGGGGACAAAGUGACAGGUGGUGCAUGGUUGUCGUCAGCUCGUGUCGUGAGAUGUUGGGUUAAGUCCCGCAACGAGCGCAACCCUUAAGCUUAGUUGCCAUCAUUAAGUUGGGCACUCUAAGUUGACUGCCGGUGACAAACCGGAGGAAGGUGGGGAUGACGUCAAAUCAUCAUGCCCCUUAUGAUUUGGGCUACACACGUGCUACAAUGGACAAUACAAAGGGCAGCGAAACCGCGAGGUCAAGCAAAUCCCAUAAAGUUGUUCUCAGUUCGGAUUGUAGUCUGCAACUCGACUACAUGAAGCCGGAAUCGCUAGUAAUCGUAGAUCAGCAUGCUACGGUGAAUACGUUCCCGGGUCU
RNAcentral lists this ribosomal RNA (1341 nucleotides) under uncultured bacterium. RNAcentral's name for it is "partial 16S ribosomal RNA". It matches the Rfam family "Bacterial small subunit ribosomal RNA", at positions 28 to 1381 of the family's 1533-position model. The record is from RNAcentral.